Molecule: non-coding RNA, 68 nt
Organism: Podarcis lilfordi (Lilford's wall lizard)
Lineage: Eukaryota; Metazoa; Chordata; Lepidosauria; Squamata; Lacertidae
Source: the annotation of a GenBank genome assembly
CUGUAGCUCAGUGGCAAAGCAUCUGCUUGGCGCGCAGAAGGUUCCAAUUUUCAAUCCUGGCAUCUCGA